Molecule: long non-coding RNA, 447 nt
Organism: Lontra canadensis (Northern American river otter)
Lineage: Eukaryota; Metazoa; Chordata; Mammalia; Carnivora; Mustelidae
Exons: 3
Source: RefSeq, a predicted model, not a curated record
UGUGUUAUUUCUACCUAAUAAAUGUGCACCAUAAAGUGUGAGCAUUAUUUUCUUUCCUGGAAAAAUUUUUGAAAGUAGCUUUUCGUAUAUGUCCAUAUUUAUUACUGCCUAGCUUUUUAUAAUGUCCACAUCUCUGGAGUGUGUCAUUUUGAUAUUUUUGUUCUUGUAGAUGGCUUUUAAAGCAGGAAAAGACUUGAGAGGUGUAAAAGAAGGAAAUACAAGAUCUGAAGGAUCCCCAAACGCCCAAGUGAGGCUGCAAAGUAGAGAAGACUUGAAUGGCCUUGUAUCUUCAAAGAAGCGCCUUGAGCUCUGGAAUGCAACAAAGUAGGAGAAACCACUGAACACCAGGAAAUGUCAACAAUGAGGCGGGAAUGCCUGGGCAGAUACUAGAUUGGAGAUAUAUGGCAGAGUAAGAUGAGAAAAAGAAUUAGAAAUCUAUUUAUUCAU